RNAcentral lists this ribosomal RNA (358 nucleotides) under uncultured bacterium. Its description in RNAcentral is "bacterial SSU rRNA". It matches the Rfam family "Bacterial small subunit ribosomal RNA", at positions 8 to 350 of the family's 1533-position model. The record is from RNAcentral.
AGAGUUUGAUCCUGGCUCAGGAUGAACGCUAGCUACAGGCUUAACACAUGCAAGUCGAGGGGAAACGACAUCGAAAGCUUGCUUUUGAUGGGCGUCGACCGGCGCACGGGUGAGUCACGCGUAUCCAACCUGCCCACCACUUGGGGAUAACCUUGCGAAAGUAAGACUAAUACCCAAUGAUAUCUCUAGAAGACAUCUGAAAGAGAUUAAAGAUUUAUCGGUGAUGGAUGGGGAUGCGUCUGAUUAGCUUGUUGGCGGGGUAACGGCCCACCAAGGCGACGAUCGAGUAGGGGUUCUGAGAGGAACGGUCCCCCACAUUGGAACUGAGACGACGGUCCAAACCUCCGUACGGGAGGCA